AUUGAACGCUGGCGGCAUGCCUUACACAUGCAAGUCGAACGGCAGCGGGGGAGAAGCUUGCUUUUCCUGCCGGCGAGUGGCGAACGGGUGAGUAAUACAUCGGAACGUGCCCUGUAGUGGGGGAUAACUAGUCGAAAGAUUAGCUAAUACCGCAUACGACCUGAGGGUGAAAGUGGGGGACCGCAAGGCCUCAUGCUAUAGGAGCGGCCGAUGUCUGAUUAGCUAGUUGGUGGGGUAAAGGCCUACCAAGGCGACGAUCAGUAGCUGGUCUGAGAGGACGAUCAGCCACACUGGGACCGAGACACGGCCCAGACUCCUACGGGGGGCAGAAGUGGGGAAUUUUGGACAAUGGGCGAAAGCCUGAUCCAGCAAUGCCGCGUGUGUGAAGAAGGCCUUCGGGUUGUAAAGCACUUUUGUCCGGAAAGAAAUGGCUCUGGUUAAUACCUGGGGUCGAUGACGGUACCGGAAGAAUAAGGACCGGCUAACUACGUGCCAGCCGCCGCCGCGG
RNAcentral lists this ribosomal RNA (508 nucleotides) under uncultured bacterium. RNAcentral's name for it is "partial 16S ribosomal RNA". It matches the Rfam family "Bacterial small subunit ribosomal RNA", at positions 30 to 523 of the family's 1533-position model. The record is from RNAcentral.